Molecule: non-coding RNA, 100 nt
Organism: Roridomyces roridus
Lineage: Eukaryota; Fungi; Basidiomycota; Agaricomycetes; Agaricales; Mycenaceae
Source: the annotation of a GenBank genome assembly
GCCCGCCUAGCUCAAUCGGAUAGAGCGUCAGACUCUUAGGCGGGUUGAAUCCUCUUCACAGGGUAUCUGAAGGCUGCGAGUUCGACCCUCGCGGUGGGCU